RNAcentral lists this long non-coding RNA (1575 nucleotides) under Gossypium barbadense (sea-island cotton). RNAcentral describes it as "long non-coding RNA (GBAR_LNC018107)". Lineage: Eukaryota; Viridiplantae; Streptophyta; Magnoliopsida; Malvales; Malvaceae. The record is from RNAcentral.
CCCUUAUUUAUCCAUCUUUCUCUUUUUUCUCCUUUUGUUUUCCUUUCCCGUUUUCCCAUUUUUCAAGUGAGUUGUCCAAGGAUUUAAGAGCAUCCCAUUCUGCCAUUGGAGGAGCAUUUUGGUUUGACUGUUAUGAUAAGGAGUGAAGCAUAAAGGAGAAGUAAGGAAGUUGUGCCACGGAGAACCACCGGAAACGACUUUGCAUUUAUUUCCCUUCACUCUUUUAAUUUCUUAUUGUUCAAUUUAAGAAACAUAUUUGCAAUUAAAGUUUAUGUUUUUAAUAUAAUUAUGGUUGCUUAAUUCCUUCGGUGUUAGAAUAAUUUAAUUUAUAUAACUUAGAUUAUUAAUAUUGUUAUGAUGUUAUGUGCCUUGGUUAUUUAUGCAUUCAGAUAAAAUUAUGACUAUGUUAUUCAAACAUUAUAAAUGUAGGAAUGCAAUUGAAUUAAUUAAUUAAUCCUAAUCGGACUGUAAUUAAUUGACACAAUAUCUGAAUGGUGCAUGUUUAAUCUAUAUUUGAUAAAAUUAGAUUAAAUUUCAUAAUAAUUCGAGAGAACCCUAUUACCUUGCAUAAUUCUAGGAUUCAUGUGAUUAAAUUGUUUCAAUAUAAAAAUAUGUUAUACUUAAUUGCUAAGUUGUUGACAUGGACAUAUGUUAUACUUAAUAAUUUAAUAAGUUGAAUUCUUAAACGAUGCUUGAAAAGGUAACCUUGAAGUCGUAACAGACAUAGACAUAUGCAGACGAGAUGUUAAACUUCAGAAUUCGAGAGAAGCCAAAGUACUCGUAAUUUAAAUAGGAUUAAUAAACAACCUAGUUGCCAUGAAAUUUUUCGUAACAUCAUUAAUAGUAUUUAAAUAUUUAUAAGUUAAGAAGGAGAAUUAUUCUAACGCAUUCAUGCUAUUGUGUUUUCUCUUAAAGACUUGCACACUUAUUUUACUCUUUAUUUGAUUUAAUUUAAAACAUACUUAGGUUAGUUUAGUUUAAUUAAAACACAUCUCUUUAAUUUAUUUUCCAACACCGACCAAUUUGCUUAGUAAAUAAUUUUGCAAUAUUUGAUUUGCAUAAAUAGUCCCUACGGAGACGAUAACUCUUACUCACUACUUUAUUACUUAUCAACGAUUGUGUAUACUUGCACAUCAAUCAAAUUAUUUUGAGACAAUGACCGAUAUGGAGUGGGUUAUACAGUGGAUGCAGUGGAUGGCAUCGUUGGGCAUGGGCUACGCCCAAAAAUUUGGGAUUCCUAUUUCAGAGCCACCACCAAACUGAUACCCACCCAUGCCACAAGCCGAUAAGGAAUGGGAGGAGGAGGAAAAAGGGGACGAUGAGGACGAAGAAGAAGAGACGAACUUUGAGGAGGAUCUCGAUGAGGUUUUUCAAUCAGAGCCCGAUUAGUUCUCCGAGUCUGAGGGUUGCCACACCAAACACGGGUCGAAGGAAAGAUCCGAUGAUUGAGGAGUGUGGAAACACGAAAAUAUGUAGACUUUUUCAUGCCCUUUUUAACUCAAAUCCAUGUAGUUUCGGUGUAAUUCUUGUCAGAAAAAUAUAAUAUAAUUAUUAAAUUAUUAAAUUUUACUUAAA